UAUGGCAUGCAUACGAGCUGCACUGUGCUGUGUAAUGUUAGGUGAUACAGUGGAGACAGUGGAGGUCAUUUGACGGGACGAUGAUGAUUAUCGAUCAGUCAGUGAGAGAAUCCUGUCAUGCGCUCAGAAAGAGCGCGAGCGGAACGCACGCGGAGCAUCGAUUUGAGCGCCAGUCCCAUGCAGUUUGAAGCUCCGCCUCCAGAGCCAGCGGACUUUAAAGCGCUCGCCGCUCUCUGACUGACUGACUGACUGACUGAAGCCCGAGCUGCGCCGCACCAUGGCAACAGAGCGGCCCUCCAAACUGCGCGUCUUCUCUCUCAACUGCUGGGGAAUUCGAUUCUUCAGUCAACUCUGUACACAGCGGUAUGAGAUGAUCGGAGAAUUACUGGGCCGAGAGCAGCACGACAUCGCCCUGUUACAG
Long non-coding RNA from Sinocyclocheilus rhinocerous, 421 nucleotides. RefSeq lists it as uncharacterized. The record is from RefSeq and is a predicted model, not a curated record. Lineage: Eukaryota; Metazoa; Chordata; Actinopteri; Cypriniformes; Cyprinidae. The transcript has 3 exons.